Molecule: long non-coding RNA, 2403 nt
Organism: Pan troglodytes (chimpanzee)
Lineage: Eukaryota; Metazoa; Chordata; Mammalia; Primates; Hominidae
Exons: 5
Source: RefSeq, a predicted model, not a curated record
GGUAAAAUUUAAAUACGAUGAAGGGGAAAGGACGGCUUAAGAUAAAGAGCUUGGGCUGACAAGGGAAUAGUCCCAGGGUUCAAUUAUCCAGCAGAGCGCGGCCUCCCAACGCCCGCCCACCGGGGAUAAUUAAAAGCCGGACGCCUCGGUCCCUUCCCCAGGGAGGCAGCGGCGCUCCGCGUGUGAAACGGCGCUCAGGAAUGAACGGCGACACAGUGGCUUCAUUGUUCGGCGGCGGGGGAAACUGAGGCCGGAGGGCGGCCGCCGGGUGACUGGAGGCUGGGUCACCGCGCUCCCAGAGUGAAUGGGCAUUGGCCAGUGGGGCUUGCGGCCCUAUCUCCCCAGGGAGGGAGAAGAUCUGGGGAGGCAUGCCCCCAUCCCCAAACCAAUGAGCUCCGGAAGCUCCUCCUGGAAAAGCUAAUUAUUGAGGAACAUUUUUAAGGCUCUUGAUUCAAAUCAUCUGCUGCUGUCCAGAAAGCUGACACCAACUUACACAUCCGAUAAGAAUGGAUGAAAUUAAAAUUCUGGGCCGGACACGGUGGCUCACGCCUGUAAUCCCAGCACUUUGGGAGGCCGAGGCGGGCGGAUCACGAGGUCAGGAGAUCGAGACCAUCCUGGCUAAUGCGGUGAAACCCCUUCUCUACUAAAAAUACAAAAAAUUAGAUGGGCAUGGUGGUGGGCGCCUGUAGUCCCAGCUACUUGGGAGGCUGAGGCAGGAGAAUGGCAUGAACCCGGGAGGCGGAGCUUGCAGUGAGCCGAGAUUGUGCCACUGCACUCCAGCCUGGGUGACAGAGCGAGACUUGGUCUCAAAAAAAAAGAAAAGAAAAGAAAAGAAAAGAAAUUAAAAUUCUGAAGUUUGCAUACCUAACUCUUCACUUACGGUAUCUCACAGUCUAAUUAAUUCAUAGCCACAUGUAUAGAGUUUAUUGCAUUUGCAACUAUGCAGCAUCAAAUUGUUGCAAAGAGACCUCUGGAAAGGACUGUCCUUCCUCCCAAUGUGUAUGUGUGUAUGUACAUGUAAUACAUGUACAUAUAAUGAAGAUUACAUACAUGUAUAAUUGUAUUAUAUACAUAUAUAAUUGUAUACGUAUAUAAUACAUUUAUAUAAUCUUCAAUUAUAUGUAUAUGUAUUAUAUAUACAUACAUACACAUUGGGAAGGAUAUAUAUAUAAUUGAAGAUACAGAAUUGAAGAUGAGUAUAUUUAAUAUUUAUCAAAGGGUAAAGGCGCUCAUCCACAGUUUGGAUCAGAGCCUCAAAAUCUAAAUUCAUGCCACGAAUAGCGUUUUUCAGAUGUUGACUUCCUAGGAUCCUAUUCUUUUAAACCUGAUUCAAUUUUUGUGCCUAUCAAGACAGACACCAAAGAUUUUAUUUAGGAGGAAAUAUGUGGUAUUCUUUUUAAACUUUUCCAGAGACAUCACUUAUGUGAUCUUACUUGGUUUCUACAACAUUCCCAGCCCCAGGAGGCAGGCAGAGUGAUAUUGCCAAUCACAUUUUUGUAGACACAGGCUCAGAGAAGUGACAUUACCUGCUAGAUGUCACACAGCCCAUCUGGGACCCCAGGGCUCAAGCCCCUGCCCUCUGGCCCUGAGUCCUGCCUCUGUCUGUGGACUCCCAGCUCUUGCUGUUGCUAGAGUGUGCUGCUCCUUUACUUGGCAUGUCCACAUUCCUGGGUUGUCCAGGAACGCACAUUCUUGGAGAGGAAGGGGAAUAGAUAUUUUAGCCACAUACAACACUCUGAGCUUGCCAGGCACCUAAUAGGGACACUCAAUAAAUAUUAAUUAAAGAAUGCAGCCACAUUGGCUUAUGUGCUGGCCAGAUCCUUUAAAGUGUCAAGAAUAUUCCUUGAGAGACUGAGUGUUAGGCUGGAAGGCUGUGUGGAGGCGGAGAGGACAGAAAAGUCCUGGAGUAAUGGAGUGCAUUCUCUUGGAAGAUGAAAAUAUCCACCCGCCCCAGGGGGCCCCUAUCUGUCACUGUCACCAGGAGAGAAGGAGGAAGGGAACAUAUGUCUGUUGAGUGCCUCUGGGACCUGUAUUUUUCUUGCUGGGGUGGGAUUUAUUCCGCUUCUCCCGUACUCCUGCAUCUCCAAGGCCAGUGGAGGACACCAGGGGACAGCUGGCUGAGAUCAAGGAUUAACGUCAAGGAAUUUCUUCAUCAUCUCCAUCAUCAAAUUCUACUUAACAUGCUCUGCCCAUUCCAAGAAAAAAAGAGGAAUGAAUGUGAACUCUUUUUGUACAUACAGCCAUUUACUCAAAAAAUGCAGCCGGCAGAGAUUCCACAGCUGGAAAGCUGACUGGUUGCAGUAGAGAAGCUGGCCAAAAUCCACCAAGAUGGCGACAAGAGUGACCUCUGGUCAUCCUCACUGCUACACUCCCAUCAGCGCCAUGACAGUUUACAGAUUCCAG